GGCAUGUGGAAUCCUCCCAGACCAGGGAUCCAACCCAUGUCCCCUGGCUUGGCAGGCAGAUUCUCAACCACUGUGCCACCAGGGAAGUCCCCUCUAUUUUACCUUAAUAAAAAUGUUUCAGGACUUCCCUUGUGGUCCAGUGGUUAAGACUCUGAGCUUCCACUGCAGGGGGCAUGGGUUCCAUCCCUCGUCAGGGAAUUAAGAUCUCGCAUGCUGUGCAAUGCAGCUGAGAAAUAAAAAGUUUCAUAAUUUUUUCUUAAUUAAGAAGAGAAGAGGGGUAGUGGGCAGUAAUUUUGAGAAACUGUUUAAAGUUGAUCUCUCCAUUCUCUGGGCCAGCUCCACUGGUGGCCUGCUUAGGCUGCCAGUGUGGGAUGUUGCGGGGGUUAAGUAGAGGGAUCUCAGAAGUUUUCGUGAGCUGGGAGAGGUGUGGUUACUCCAUAGAGCUCUGUGGUGGGCUUCAGUGCCACGGAAGGGCUUCAAGCCACCACAGAGCUUGGCUUCAGGCAUCCUUGGAAAGCCACAAGCAGUGGUGGUGGAGCCAUGGCUGGAUGAUGGGAAUCCGGGCCCUGCCCUCUGCAGCCUCCAGCCAAGUCCAUGGUGUGUGCGCCCGUCAUCGGCUUUUUAGUGGGUCUCAUAUUUGUUUAGACUUGUCUAGUUGUCUGGAAGCUGGCGUCAUGUGAAAUGGGAAAUGCUGCUUUCACAAUGCUGGCUGAAAUUUCACAAACAUUGGCAUAACAAAUUCAAGAGAAGUGUCAACUCCUUGGCAAGGAUGGCACUGUUCAAAGGGGGACUGUAGCAACUGAGUCAUCUUUGGAGGAUAUUAGCCUAGAGAAAGAGUCAACAAAAAUUCAGAGCCUGGCGGACACCUAUGGAAUGCUGACGAGUACCAACUCUAUCCUGAAGGAGGAAAUAAUAAAAUAAUACUUCCCUAAUAAAAGAAAUAGAUGAAAGAUCCAGACACUCAAGAAAAAAGGAGCUGAUGGCUGAAGUUGCAAGAAUGAUCUGGUCACUGAACUAGGAGUCACCACAUCACAAUAAAUUUUCCAAACAAUAACUCCCUGUUGUCCCUCCAGAUGGUGGCCUUGGUCUGAAAGCAGAGGCCUCCUGUGCUGCCAGGCCACAUUCACCCACCUCCCUCUCAUAUGUUAUCGUCACUCCAGAUGCAAGCAGUUCCUGUAGAGACCUCCUUUUCCUUCUCAUCCUCCUCUGGGAAGAGCUUAUAGAGCCCCCUUCUUGGGCUGGAGUUUCUCCUCUACCCUCAAAUCCUAAAAACAAAAGUGAGUUCCUUUGAAGUUAGUCCAAACUUCAAAUGAACCAUUGGAACCAACAUCAAGAAACUAGAGAUUUAAAAUCGGGCCUCUUCAAAAUGAAUUUUAAUCUCAUUUGUUAGCAUUUAAAAAACUUAAAGGGGGAGGCUUCCCUGGUGGCUCAGUGGUUGAGAGUCCACCUGCUGAUGCAGGGGACACGGGUUCGUGCUCCGGUCCGGGAAGAUCCCACAUGCCGCGGAGCAGCUGGGCCCGUAAGCCAUGGCCGCUGAGCCUGUGCUCCACAAGGGAGGGGCCACAACAGUGAGAGGCCCCCGUACCGCAAAAAUAAAAAACAAAAACAAAAACUUAAAGGGCCAUACUUGUGCUCAUAAUAACAAUCAAUAGAACUUUAGUUCUCAGAAUAGGGUUUGUAAAAUUAUUUUUAUAUAAAUGUUAUAAUUAAAUUAUUUUUACUUAAUUUUUCUCUAUACAUAAUAUAAAUAUGAUGUUUUCUUUAAUUAUACGUGCAGUUUAUCAAUAGCAUACAAUUCCAAGAAGAUUCUAUAGUUCUUUAGAGGGUCCCAAGCAGGAUUGAGCCUGAGCUGUACAGGGUGAUAACCAUUCAAUGACACACAUUUUAUUGGCUUUCUCUCCUUGCCUGUAUCACUCUCCAUUUUCUGGGAUUACCUUCCAAAUAAGUUACAUGCACCUGAGAGUAUGUCUCCGGCUCUGCUUUCAGGGGAAACUAAGCUAAGACAGACAUUGGAAUGUACAGCCAGCCACACAAUAUAUAACUAGGCCCUUCGGGCUGACUUUCCCUCGCCUUCUACUACGAGGGGUGUGGACACUGUCAUCAAUAAAUGAAGCUUGGUCACAUCUUUCUGAACUGCAGUCCCCGUUGUUAGAAAGACAGCAUGUAAUGGGGACAGUGUCAUCUCCAGGCAGUGGAUGCCUCCGGUCCAUGAAUUCUCUAGACCCCUCCCAUCCUGCCCCCUUCCACACAUUCCUGAAUGUAUCGGUCACAUUAAAUCAAUGAGACUAACUGAGCUGCUCCUUCCUUAUUCCACUGUUUCUCUGACAUCACCCAGGAAAUUACUGGAACCUUUGGUCUUAGCUGUCCCUCAACUGUGGUGCCGUCUCAACCAGUGUCUGCCAGGCUAGUAAUUCGUUUUCAGUAGAGAAGUAGCAAGCAGCUACAUUGGGUGAUUUUAGGGGCCAAGAGCCUCAAUCCUUAAGCCAAUCCUGAUAUACGUCAGAGACCAUCUCAUUAGAGCAUUUAUUGCACCCCAUCAAUCUUGUGGUGCGAUAAACAAGACCGAGCAGAGUACAGCAUAGAAUACCAAGCAUGAACACUGUCUUUUCUUUUUCUUUUUAAUCACCUGUAGCCUUUCAGGCCAACAUAUGCUUCUCUGAACUGAGAGCUUCGGAAGUAGCAUAAAUGUUAGUUGCAAGCAUCUCUGGGACUUAUGCUCACAGGCCUUUAGAUUGCCAAUAAAGGCGAUCUUGUAGAGACAUUCUUAAAAGUCUAGUGAUUUUUGGCUCUCUGUUCUUAUUUAAGAGAGAAACACCAAAAAUGGCUUGGAAACUUGGCCAGGAUGUUAACUAGUGGCUUCACUGUACAGUUUACUGUAGAUCUGUACUCAGGCCUUACUUUGUAGAUGCCCAAAUGUUAGCGUCUGUAGGGUUUUUUUCUCUUGGGCUAGUCUUCUGUUUGUUUGUACUGUUGUUAUUGUUCUGUAUUUCAGGAGAGGGUGUAAGCCUGGCUGCUAUUAUUCUAGGAGUUGAGUAAGGGCAGGGGACUAAAGUUCUCACAACUCAGUAUGUAAAAUUUAACUUUACCUCCCUAUUUUACCUUUUGUCUUACUUCCCUGAAAUAUUCCUGAGGCUAGAGCUCUGUUUCAAUUUUUCCAGUGAGAAUACCUGGAAUGUCUUCCUCUGUUGGGGUGGGAAAGGUUUAGGUGCCUGGCUAUGCAAUGUUAGGGCUGGCAUCUAGAGAGCUAGCUGCUUUUUAUUAGACUUUCAACUAAUCUUGUUUUUAAUCCAUACCCCAUUCAAAGUGACAGGUGCCUCCAAUUCUGCAGCCAUUCUUGUCUUGCUUUAUGGCUUUUCCGAGUGCAGAUGCUUAAAUUUCAGCUUUCUCUGCUUUUUUAAGUUUCCACUUGUCCACCUGCUUGCCAUUUUCCAAGUUGUACUCUAGCAGCAAAUCACCUAUCUGAAAAGACUACCUAUCUCAGCCUCCUUUGCAUAUAGUUCUGGCCAAAGGGGAAAUGCUAUGAGAAACAUCAGGAAUGGCCCCUUAACGGGAUUUGAUUCGGCUGUGGAGCACAUCCUUUUAUCCUUCUCUUCUCCCUUCUUCCUACUGCCUGGAAUGUGGACAUGAUAGCUAGAACGCCAGCAAUUAUCCUGAACUCAUGAGGGAAGCUUGAGGAAGGAAGCCACAUACUGAGGAUGACAGAGCAGAAAUAUAGGAGCCUUGGUCCCUGGUGGCUGUGGAGUUAUCCCAGACUAACGGCGGACUUCUUUUAUACUAACAGUAAUUCUGAUAAAUUCUAUCAUGUACAAUUUCCUUCAAAAGAGGGGGAAAGACUAUGAUACAUUGAUAAUUGUGUACAUUGCAUUACUGAGUACGUUGCCGACAGGACAGAACUUCCUUUCUGACCAGGAGGAUAAAAAUAGACUUCUCUCUCCCUAACAAUUUUACAUAUCUAGUGAUUGGAAGAAUUUCCAAUAGACUGACUCAUACCUCCUUUCCUUUUAGUCUUUGUAUAUAUGGUGCCAUCCACUGCAGGAUGAAGUCACAUUGCAGUGUAACCUCUGGCCCUGCACCUUUACAUGACAGGAUCCCAGGUGAGUUGGCACAGAGGGCAGUAGGAAUAUUCCUGGGAGCCAUUUCUCUUCCUGGAUGGCUAGCAAUACUUAGAGAUACUGCACCACACAUAAUCCCAUUCCACAAAACCCAAACCAAUGUAUGCUCAGUUCAACUUCCCAUUAACUGGAUCCCAUUAACUGGCCACACUGUGGCCAUUCCAAUGUGACAUGACUAAGGGAAGUCUAUCAGAAGGAACAUCAGAAUGGAAGGAAAUAGAGAUCUUAACUGAUCGUGAUGGAAAUACCUUGGGCGAAUUUUACUCAAACAUAUGACCACAUGAGAUCAUUUCUAGGCCCUUAAUGGGCUUGGAAGGAGUCUGUGUAAGUGAGGGACCCUGAAGCUUAAGCUCCAUUAGCUUCACAGUAUAUCUGCCUUGGGUAGGACAGGUGGAAUAACAUUUAACAAACAGGAACACUUAGUUUAUUUAUGCUGUGGCAACCACAGUACCAGGAGAAACAACAGUCACUAUGCCCAAAAUUUCUUGUGUUGAAUGGGACUUGGGGACAUUCUUUUACUCACAAACCCCACACUUCUCUGUGGUCUUAAUCACUGGCUUCUGCAUAAAUUCCUCCCAAAUUUCACUUCUGUUUCUCCUUCUUUUUUUUUUGUGGUUGCAGGAACUUCAAACUGUGAGGUUUCAUCCUCUUUGUUGGACCUAUUUCCAAGUAUCUUGCUGACCAAGACACAUUCUUAGCAAAUGAGUCAUGUUUACCUGCUAAUUCAGUACAAUUUAUUUCUAACAUUCUUAGCAAAUGAGUCAUGUUUACCUGCUAAUUCAGUACAAUUUAUUUCUAACUUAUUAAUACACAAAGUAGUUUUCAAACACAUAUAUCCACAUGAUGCUUUAAUCCUUUAUAUAACUUCUAUCCAGAUAUAUCAUGCAAAAUUUUAUACUCAGAAAAGUUCCAUGUUUUAUAUACUUAUUAAUUUUAUAAAUUUCCUCAGAAUAUAUUCUUCUUUUGAUCAAUUCUACACUUCAUUAUAAGUUAAAGAAAAUGGCAGUGUAGCAAUGGGACGGUGGAUAAUUUCUCUGGUAUGAGUAGCAGAGGCUAAAAGUAGAACCAUUACUACAGUACUUUCACCUUACAGAGCAGUCGAUAUUUUUCACAAGAUUUUUCCUCCGGAGUGUUCUGCCAGCUUUUUAGGUUUUUCAACCUCCACAGGCUUGCUGUACUAUCAGGAUCGUGGGUUGGUUUAGCUGAUUCUCUGUAGAGAAUAACUGCUAAUAAUUGCUGUUUCAGAAAACAAGUCAACCAAAGUUAACUAACAAAUACUUGCUGAGAUUCUAUAUUGAUUUAAAAAUAUACAAUAAAGCUAAUGGAAAUAUUAGUACUGUCCAAAAGGGACAUAAGAAGCACUUUAUAGAGAGAAUUUAGGAAUUUGAAACUAGAUUCUAGGCUAAGGUUUGAGGAGUUUGUUUAUUUCCCAGUGCUUGGCUUAGCAGCUACGAUGCAUCAUCCUAUUGUGCAAUGUAGACACUCAGGUUUAAUAUGAUCUCACGUAAAACUCAUUUAGCCAUUAAUUGAAAAUAGACAGAUAGGCUGGUCACGGAUUGGCAGUUUUGGCCUUUUUACUUAUUUAAUUUAGCCUAGUUUGUUUUCUUCAACUUCACCUUCAUUGUGCAUUCCUGGGUUAAAAAAAUGCAUAUUUGUUUGUGUGUUUAAUUGUAUUUAUUGCAUUUAAUUUUAAAUGCAAUACAUUUUAAUUUAAAAAAUAAAGCUAUUUAAAUAAGACUACAGCAGUAGUAACAUUUCACAGCUGCAAAAUGUCUCCUUAUUCCCCCUCUUUUUCUCUGUCUCCCCUUCAUAUACAUUGCAUUGUUUCUCUUAAUAGUUUCUCUAGUAUUCUAAAAUUAUGUGGUAUAAGGUCUAUCUCUUUUAAUGAUGAAUAUAAACCUUGGACAUUUCAGUGUAGAAACUUUGACUUCAGGCCUUUUAUUCCCACUUCAAAUAUAAUUUUGGUUCACUUCCAUUCAGUGGUAUACACUGUUCCACAAUUAACUUUGUUCUGUGCUAAACUCUGGUACUAAAUGUUAUGUUCAAAUCUGGGCUUCAAAGCUUUCAAAGCAACAUGAUAGAUCCAUAUUACAUGUCCUCAUGAUUGCAGAUCUCGGCAUGGUCAAGUGUUCCUGGAGAAAGAAACUGACCUCUUGGCAACAACAACUCUUGGGUGAAAUUAUAAACUAAUUUUGGACAAGAAAAAAAACAAGAGCAUCAAUUGCUGCCAUUUGAGAUGGAAGGUCAUUUGAGGACAAAGUGAGAAAAUGGCUGUCUGCAAGCCAGGAAGAGAGGCCUCACCAAAUACCAAUCCUGACAGCAACUUGAUCUUGGACUUCUAGCCUCCAGAGCGGUGAGAACCUGAAGGACCCAAGGAGACACGGGUAAAGUGUCAAGGACCUGGAUGAGAUCCAUCUCUUGUUGCUACAUAAACAGAGGCUACACAAUUCACAGGCAUGUUUUAAAAAUGCAAACUCGGGCUUCCCUGGUGGCGCAGUGGUUAAGAAUCUGUCUGCCAAUGCAGGGGACACGGGUUCGAGCCCUGGUCUGGGAAGAUCCCACAUGCCACGGAGCAACUAAGCCCGUGAGCCACAACUACUAAGCCUGCGCGUCUGGAGCCUGUGCUCCGCAACAGGGGAGGCCGCGACAGUGAGAGGCCUGCGCACCGCGAUGAAGAGUGGGCCCCGCUCGCCGCAACUGGAGAAAGUCCUCGCACAGAAACGAAGACCCAACACAGCCAAGAAAUAAAUAAAUUUAAAAAUGCGAACUCAACUAUAAUGUUACCACAACCACUAAUAUUCAAAUGUUCUCAGCUACUUCUUAAGCUAAGCUAGGAACUAUCCCUAGAGUUGAGCAGAGUCCCCUGAAACCUUUUAACUUGGAAAUCACCAUGCUAUGGGAGAAAUACCUACAGCACUUGGAAAGGCUUUGAGGUUCUCGCAGGCACUUCUUUCUCAAUAAGCCCCUUUACUGAGGUAUGAAUGACAUACAAAGAGCUAUACAUAUUUCACGUAUAUGACUUGAUGAUUUUGGAUAUAAGUAUAUACCAGUGAAACCAUCACCACAAUGUAUGCCAUAAACAUAGCCGUCACCUUCAAAAGUUUCCUCCUGCCUUCUUUAUUAUUAUUAAUUUUUGUGAUAAUGACACUUAACAUAAGAUCUACUCUCUUAGCCAAUUCUUAAUAUUGUCAACACAGGCACUACGCUGUCCAAUAGAAAAGGACUUUUUCAUCUUGCAUAACUGAAACUUUGUACCCUUUGACCACUUCUCUCCAGCCACUGAACCCUCUAGCUUUGCUCCCGUUUCAAUUUAACCAAGUGCCAGAAGCUUAUUUUGUGUCAUAUUAACAAACAGUAAAUAUUUUAAAUGUUAUCUAGUAAAAAGACUUAACUUGGCUUUUGUAUCUUUUCUGGUCUGCUACAAGUUUCCACCAGUGUCUCCUCUUUUCUUAUUUUGGUCUCACACUUUGUAGCAAAACAGAAGAGGAAGCACUUUAUGUAGAAGACCUUUGGGAACACUGUAAUUGCAUUUUUCCUAAUCAGUUUUAUUGGAUAUUUCCAGUUUGCUUCCUAUUUCAUGUUCCAUCAUACCUCUAAUUGUUAGAUGUUUCCUAAUUUUUAGACCACACAUUUUAAACUUUACUUAUGGCUCUUCAUUACCACAUCUUUUAUAAAACAUCUUGAGUAUUUUAAGCACCCUGUGACCAUCCACGUAAUCCAUUCCUGCUAGCAAUGUAAAAUAAGUAACACCAAAAUAACUGAGAAGUUUGAGAGAUGAAUCCUUAGUAGAUACGCACAUGGUGAAAGUGUACACGUUGCUUAAGAGAGGAAUCUCUUGAAGGACCCUCAAGCACUGCAUUGGGUCCAAGUUCUAAAUGUUGUAUCAAGAAGGGCAGGGGAGCCAAAAAAGUUCUCUCCAUUUUCCCAAACCAUAACCUUAGGAGAGAAAUGUUCUCAUCCAGCAAGCCGGGCUGUGUCUUCACAGUGUUGUAGUCUACCAGCCUCAGGGAAUCAGGCAGAGGAGAAGCCUUUCCUCUAAGAGAACCUCACUGUCCUCAUUUCAGUAACAGUUAUGUUCAGCAGAGCAGCUAAUCUCAUUGCCAAGAGGGAGGGAAGUCAAAGAGAGCCUCAAGUAACUUAGUACCAGGACAUUCCAGGCUUUAAAAUAGCUGCCUUUACCUCAUGGGCCAUUUGAAGAAAUCUAUACAGAAUUUGAAAACAAGCUGUAAUAGAACCUUACCCAACAGAAGCAAGGUCUCGCCAGACAUUUUUGUUCAUUUCCUUUGCUUUUAUUUUCCAGAGUUUCUUCCUCACCUUAAGUUAUUUCCUGCCUACUCACUCACUCCCCGGAUGGUUUAAUUCUCUUCUGGGUAUAACCAUUAUGCAUAGUAGAUACAUGGACAUGCACUGUUCCUUAGCUCCUCCACUUUCCUUAGCGCCACUGCUAGUCUUUUGGAUGGUGGCAUCCACCUCCUCUAACACACAUCCAUCCACUGGCCCCUUACACUCCCAUUGCCCCUAUGUGGUUGAAUGAUUUUACCAUCCACCCAGCCGUUCACACUAGAAAACUCAGUCAUCCUGCCUCCUUUUCUCCAUCAUGUCCCCUUCCUCCAAACACAUUCCAUCAGACAUCAGGUUUGGCCACUUCUGUCUGUGGAAUGUUUCUGGAUUCCAGGGACUUUGCAGGAAGCUUUUAGCUUGUCUCAGCUCAAAGUCUCUCUGUUUCCAUUUAUCUUCCACAUUGUCAUCAAUUACUAUUCUGGAACAAAAAUCUGGUUUUACUUUUCUCCUGCUUAAUAACAUUCGAUAGUUAUCCACUGUCUGGAUAGAGUUUUAUCUCUUUAACAAUGUAUACAGAAUUCCUCUAUGUCCCUUCCCCACCCCAUCAAAAUUCACCUUUCUCCCUACCUGUUCUCUUGGUUCACUGCUUUCUGCCAAAUGACAGCCAGCUUUCCCAACACCUUAGCCCAGAAGUGGUUUCUUUUUUUUUCUUUUUUAAAUAUUUAUUUAUUUGGCUGCAUCGGAUCUCAGUUGCAACACGUGGGAUCUUCCUUGCAGCAUGUGGGAUCCUUUAGUUGCGGCAUGCGGGAUCUAGUUCCCUGACCAGGGAUUGAACCUGGGUACCCUGCAUUGGGAACGUGGAGUCUUAACCACUGGACCACCAGGGAAGUCCCCAGAAGUGGUUUCUUUUUUUUCUUUUUUUAAAUAAAUUUUAUUUAUUUAUUUAUUUAUUUAUGGCUGCAUUGGGUCUUCAUUGCUGUGCGUGGGCUUUCUCUAGUUGCGGCGAGCAGGGGCUACUCUUCGUUGUGGUGCGAGGGCUUCUCAUUGCGGUGGCUUCUCCUGUUGUAGAACACGGGCUCUAGGCAUGUGGGCUUCAGUAGUUGUGGCUCGUGGACUCUACAGAAUAGGCUCUGUAGUUGUGGCGCACGGGCUUCGCUGCUCCGCAGCAUGUGGGAUCUUCCUGGACCAGGGCCCGAACCUGUGUCCCCUGCACUGGCAGGCAGAUUCUUAGCACUGCGCCACCAAGGAAGUCCCAGAAGUGGUUUCUUAAUGUGCUAUCUAGUUUUUCAUUCCAUUUCUUUUUCUGGGUUCUCAACAUAUUUUUGUCUUCUCAUUUAGGUCAUGCUUUGCAAGACUAUGUUGAGGAUUUUAUUUUAUUCUAAUUAAAAUAAUAUCAACCAUAUCCAAGUCUGUUGUCUUGCCAAAAAGCGUUCUGAAUCUGAAGUCCAGAAUAAUAUCCAGUCUAGUCUUGUACAAUUUGGCUAGUAUUUCAGCCAUGGACAACGUUGCUUUCCCAAGGUAAAGGAAAUAAUUGAUCUACUAUCCCCACCAAAGCACUCAUUUGUCAUGAAUUUGCUGUCCUUAAAGUUAUGGAGUUGGGUGUCAUGGCGGCUGGUUUUCUGAGCAGUGAGAGAAGAGGUAUCUUUCUACUUUAAA
This is a non-coding RNA of Globicephala melas (long-finned pilot whale), 10049 nucleotides long. The record is from RefSeq and is a predicted model, not a curated record. NCBI's taxonomy places the organism in Eukaryota, Metazoa, Chordata, Mammalia, Artiodactyla, Delphinidae.